AGUAGUACAGAGACUAUUUAUAAUUGGAAAAAUCCUCAUGUUUUACUGUGCGCUACUGUUUGGCUGACUACCAAACCCUCAACAAACUACUUUAUUUACAAUCAUGCCAUUGCAACUUAUUCCAUAAAAGAAGUAGAAGAAAUUCUGGUGAGAGACGAAGAUGUGUGUGACUGUGAGCUCGAUGCCAUGUCCGACGGAAUAUAUCCGACGAACUUCGAUCCUAAAUCGGUUCUUGAAGAAUCUUAAUAUCCCCAAUUGUCUUCAAUCUCAAUGACAUCCUCGUCUCUGUUCAGAUUUAUUCAACGAGCUUGAUCGAUAAAUUCUCAAACUUUGUUUUCUUCAAGAUCUAUGGCGGAAGAACAUCGAUGUCAGACAUCGGAAAGCAACCGUCUCUGUGUUAACAACAGUGGCUUCCUCGGCAGCUCCGCCACCAUGAAUCUCUGUUCUAAUUGCUACGGCGAUCUCUGUCUCAAACAACAACAACAAUCCUCCAUCAAAUCCACCGUCGAAUCUUCCCUCUCCGUAUCUCCUCCUUCAUCAUCAUCAGAGAUUGCUUCCAUAUCUUCUCCGAUCAUCCCUCCUCUCCUUAAAACUCCCUCCGUCAAGCUAUUUCGAUCGAGGUAAAAGCUAACAGUUUCUAUUUGGAUUUCUUUCUAGUUAUUCUGUUUCUGAUCUCGAUUUGUUGUGAUUAAAGAAUUUUGUUGGGUUAUUCAUUGAAAUUGCUACUGUGUUCGUGUGAGAGAGGCAAAGUAAUUAGAAACUGUUAGACGAAAAUAUGUAGUUUUUGUUGGAAACGGAUCUUUGAUUAAUCAAAUGUAAGAAGAAGUUGAAAGAAGUGUAGAACAAGAAUCGUAAGAAGAGAAGAAGAAGAAGAGGAGAAGGAAAAGAAGUCUGUGUCGUGAAGAGAAAAGAGAAGGAAGAAGAAAGAAGAAAAGGGCCAGAUGGGCCAGAAAUUAAUAGAGGCCCAAAUGUGUAUUUAUUUUUUUUUGGACAAAGAAGCCCAAAUGUGUUAUUGCACACUUUAAUAUAUCAAAGCUCCUAGUAGCACUAAGAGCAACAUUAUUGGUAGUCUUUUAA
Arabidopsis lyrata subsp. lyrata is the source of this 1077-nucleotide long non-coding RNA. RefSeq lists it as uncharacterized. The record is from RefSeq and is a predicted model, not a curated record. The transcript has 2 exons. Lineage: Eukaryota; Viridiplantae; Streptophyta; Magnoliopsida; Brassicales; Brassicaceae.